CUCGUAAUCAAUAAUUAAACGCAGAAAACAUUAAAGUUGAUCCCGCUCUUCGUGGCCUGUGAGAGGCCGCACUGCUCUUCAUCUUCCUGUUUGUCCCCCCAGGUCUCGUUGCUGUCCUCCCAGGCGAGACUCAAAAGCAACACACCUUGUGAACAUGAGCAGCCAAGCAUCAGAGCGGUACUUCACAGGCCGUCCUCCUCCCCCGUUCUCUCAAGGGCCCCAACAUAAUGCGGUCCUCUCCUCUGGUCCCAGCCUCCUCCCCCAAGUACACCCACUGCACAGGAGCACAGGAGAUGAACUCACCAGACAGGUGCCAUACUGCUCACCAGAAUGACAAUUUGCCUUUUGGAAAUCAGCCUCUGGCUCCAUUGUGUUCCCUGAAAUUGAGUUAGCCCAUCAGCAGACACUCAACAGCUCCCUCCUGUCCCCUCCCCCUCCCUCCCUCCCCCUCCCUCUCUCUCUGUUUCUGUCAGUCCGUUUAAUGUUAAAGCUAGCUGAGGAGAGUGCUUUCAUCAGAACGUCUUCACAAUAGAAGCGUAUUUUAAAUUGGAAAAGCAUUGCAUAUUAUGCAACUGGUAGGGAGCUGUCUAGCAUAAAAGUUGUAAUAAAAAACUGGUCCGUAUGCAGGUGAGCGGCAGCAGGUAUUCAUUUCAUCUGCACAAAUUGUAUCACUGCAGUCGUAUUGCUUAUUUUUAUGUGACACAAAAUAGGAAGGUAGGCCUAAAAAAUGCAAUACUUCUAUCAAGCAAAAAAGAGAAGACACCGUUUUUAAGAUAAUGAAGUCCCAGCACUCCUGUGUCAUGAAAAGAAUACCCUAUAGUACUUUAAAACAAGCACCUACUUCCUAUAUCCAUUAGAGCCUGAUAUCAGCAACUCUGGAGACAUUAUAGAUAAUCAGGGCAGGCAGUAUGCAGAAAGAUAUUGGCUGACUAACAGGGUCCUUGGUCAAGCCUAAUUAGCUGCUGUAUCCAAAAUCAAAUCUGUUAUCCAUCAGGAGAAAUGGUUUAGAGCUUCAUCCAUCUCUGGUGUUCCUACAGAACAUACAGUCAGACGUUUUAAUUAAUCUGUAUUGCACAGGUAGCAGAACUAACCUAGUUACUGUUGCAGUAAGGCUUAGGUGGUGCGGUAAUGGUAGGAAGGCGAAACUGGAAAUGCAAAGAUGUGCUCCACUCACUUAAUUGGAUGGUCAUAUGUAACUGUUGUGAAGCUGAAUUAUUUGCAACCACUAAGAGUGUUUAUAUUAUUUGUGGCACCUCGUAAAGCACUUGCCUCUUGCCGAACAGUGACAACAAACAACAUGAAGCUAAUGUGGCUAAUAAAUGUCACAUUAAAGGCUUUGUAAAUUGUUUUAUUAAGACAGGUCAUUUUUUUAACUGAAUUUUUCUGCUGUCACUCAUUACCAGGGAGAACAGAGAAUUUAUUUGGUUCUUUAAUCUGUGAGCACACUAAUGCACACCUCAUUUACUGAAAUACUGAUAAGCAAGGGUCUUUGUGACAGUACUGAGACAAUUAUGUUUGAGGAAACGGAGAAUGCUUGCUUUGGUUUAGAUCACCUUAGGUAAUGUAUAACUAAAGAGUUGGUUGCUUUAACUGGCUGUACUGCUAGAUAGCAGAUAGUUUUCUCUUCAGCUAAUAUAAGUGUUUGUAUAUUUGUAUUAUUUAUUAAAUUGUCUGGCAACAGUAUCACUUGGCAAGCAUUUUAUUGUACUAUCAGACGAUGUAAAUUCUUACAUCACUACCUGCAACAACUACUUGCCGUAAAGCAUUGAGAAAUUUGCAUUCUGAGUUAAGUAUUGUUAUAGUAGGCGCUAAAAUAAUAUAUCAGGUGACAAUGAAUAAUGCAAAUUUUAUGCAAAUGCUUUAACGGCAGUCUGCUAGAGGACAGAAGGGAAUUUGGGCUGUAAAGAAAGAUUAAUUAAACCUACACAAUCUUGACUGGAAAAUUGUCAAGGUUAUUUUUAGAAAAGAUAGAAAACAGGUCAUAGUACCAGACCAUUCUUUAGGUUUCUAUGAACGCAAGCAGGCACUAUUUAAUAAUAAAAUUCCACUAUUGAUCUAGUGUUAGGUGGCCGUGCAGGAUUUUUGAUGUUGUGUACUUCUGUUCCUCUUUGUAAGUGAUGUGUUUUUGCUUCUUUUUUUAUUAAU
Oreochromis niloticus (Nile tilapia) is the source of this 2145-nucleotide long non-coding RNA. RefSeq lists it as uncharacterized. The record is from RefSeq and is a predicted model, not a curated record. The transcript has 3 exons. Lineage: Eukaryota; Metazoa; Chordata; Actinopteri; Cichliformes; Cichlidae.